CAGGCUGCGUUUCCAUCAAAAAACAUUAUUUGCCAAUAUCAUAACUGAAGCUGGACAUCUUUGGAGCAUAAGAAUGAGGACAGCUUUUGUAUGCUAACGUACACUCCUUAACAGUUGUACUGGAUGAAAACACAGCAAGAAAACGCAUGCCAAUAUGUAAUAUUCAUCUAUUUUAUUGCAGUACUGGUAGUUAUUUCAACAACUUGUUUUACUAGAGGACAAAAACUGAAUAUGCGUAACCCAUAUUUAAUAUCCAUGCAGUGACUGAACAACAACUGCAUUUCCACCCCCAUCUCUAAGGCAUAGUAUCAUGGCUGGUCACCUGUCAAGUCACAUGUCAGGUCAGUCAGUCACCUAUUGCUGCAGAUGUGCUCAAUAAUGCUUGAGUAUGUGAUACUCCUCAAAGCAUGGUGAAAUACAUAGAGGUGUAUCACAAGCUAGACACAUGUAUUUUGUCAUCUUCCUCUGCUUACUUCUCCUGGCGCCAGACAGGCAGACUUUGCAAUGCCUCCGUGUGCGACUACCUUGAGAAGCAGUUUGAGGGACUUUGCAGGGAAAAUGUCGUGCAGUGAGGCGUAGGGGAUUGUCUACAGCAGGACGACCCCCAGUGGAUGGGCGCCGAGGGGUGUGGUGCUCCUCCAGCAGCUCUCUCAUGAGGUUCUCUCUGUAUUUUUGGUGGUCCACCUUCCCUGUGGCCGACAUGGUUGCUGUAUGGACAGUGGAGAGGACAUGGACGUCUCGCUUGUCAUGCCACUUUACUGCCAGCUGUUGACCGUUCUCUUGGAACUCC
Long non-coding RNA from Oncorhynchus nerka (sockeye salmon), 790 nucleotides. RefSeq lists it as uncharacterized. The transcript has 3 exons. NCBI's taxonomy places the organism in Eukaryota, Metazoa, Chordata, Actinopteri, Salmoniformes, Salmonidae. The record is from RefSeq and is a predicted model, not a curated record.